GACGAACGCUGGCGGCGUGCUUAACACAUGCAAGUCGAACGGAAAGGCCCUGCUUUUGUGGGGUGCUCGAGUGGCGAACGGGUGAGUAACACGUGAGUAACCUGCCCUUGACUUUGGGAUAACUUCAGGAAACUGGGGCUACUACCGGAUAGGAGCUCAUGCUGCAUGGUGGGGGUUGGAAAGUUUCGGCGGUUGGGGAUGGACUCGCGGCUUAUCAGCUUGUUGGUGGGGUAGUGGCUUACCAAGGCUUUGACGGGUAGCCGGCCUGAGAGGGUGACCGGCCACAUGGGGACUGAGAUACGGCCCAGACUCCUACGGGAGGCAGCAGUGGGGAAUAUUGCACAAUGGGCGGAAGCCUGAUGCAGCAACGCCGCGUGCGGGAUGACGGCCUUCGGGGUGUAAACCGCUUUCGCCUGUGACGAAGCGUGAGUGACGGUAAUGGGUAAAGAAGCACCGGCUAACUACGUG
RNAcentral lists this ribosomal RNA (468 nucleotides) under uncultured bacterium. Its description in RNAcentral is "partial 16S ribosomal RNA". It matches the Rfam family "Bacterial small subunit ribosomal RNA", at positions 28 to 507 of the family's 1533-position model. The record is from RNAcentral.